UACGUAGGGUGCGAGCGUUAAUCGGAAUUACUGGGCGUAAAGCGUGCGCAGGCGGUUCGUUAAGUCAGAUGUGAAAGCCCCCGGCUCAACUGGGGAACUGCACGGGAAACUGCGAGGCUUGAGUUCGGGAGAGGGAAGCGGAAUUCCGGGUGUAGCGGUGAAAUGCGUAGAUAUCCGGAGGAACACCGGUGGCGAAGGCGGCUUCCUGGACCGACACUGACGCUGAGGCGCGAAAGCUAGGGGAGCAAACGGG
This 253-nucleotide ribosomal RNA is filed under the name uncultured bacterium. RNAcentral describes it as "partial 16S ribosomal RNA". It matches the Rfam family "Bacterial small subunit ribosomal RNA", at positions 524 to 776 of the family's 1533-position model. The record is from RNAcentral.